GCCCUCGUAGCUCAGUGGACAGAGCGGCUGCCUUCUAAGCAGCGGGUCGCAGGUUCGAAUCCUGCCGAGGGCA
Molecule: transfer RNA, 73 nt
Filed under: Actinomycetes bacterium
Lineage: Bacteria; Bacillati; Actinomycetota; Actinomycetes
Also listed under: 1 other name
Description: Actinobacteria bacterium tRNA-Arg
Rfam family: tRNA
About the family: Transfer RNA (tRNA) molecules are approximately 80 nucleotides in length. Their secondary structure includes four short double-helical elements and three loops (D, anti-codon, and T loops).
Source: RNAcentral